AUUGAACGCUGGCGGCAUGCCUUACACAUGCAAGUCGAACGGUAACAGGUCUUCGGAUGCUGACGAGUGGCGAACGGGUGAGUAAUACAUCGGAACGUGCCUAGUAGUGGGGGAUAACUACUCGAAAGAGUGGCUAAUACCGCAUGAGAUCUACGGACGAAAGCAGGGGAUCGCAAGACCUUGUGCUACUAGAGCGGCCGAUGGCAGAUUAGGUAGUUGGUGGGAUAAAAGCUUACGAAGCCGACGAUCUGUAGCUGGUCUGAGAGGACGAUCCGCCACACUGGGAAUGAGACACGGCCCAGACUGAUACGGGAGGCAGCAGUGGGGAAUUUUGGACAAUGGGCGAAAGCCUGAUCCAGCAAUGCCGCGUGCAGGAUGAAGGCCUUCGGGUUGUAAACUGCUUUUGUACGGAACGAAAAGCCCCGGGUUAAUACCCUGGGGUCAUGACGGUACCGUAAGAAUAAGCACCGGCUAACUACGUGCCAGCCGCCGCCGUAA
Molecule: ribosomal RNA, 498 nt
Filed under: uncultured bacterium
Lineage: Bacteria
Description: partial 16S ribosomal RNA
Rfam family: Bacterial small subunit ribosomal RNA
Source: RNAcentral